AUUCAUCCAUGUACAAGAAAGCUCAGUACUCUCUGUACUUGUGAGAAGAUGAUGCCACAACAGGCAGAAAAGGUAAGUAGACUCAAGAGUACCAAAGUGGUGGAGAAGGGGGAGAGUUUUAGACAUCCACUUUUUGUAAUCUGCUCACCUGUCUUCUUGCCCUAAAAUAAUAAAUACUAAAAUCCUUAAACUAACCACAUUCCUACUCUUCCUGGUCAACAUCUAAACAUACCUAUGCUUCUGUGAAAACCAAGGUUCGCUUUCAUGUCACUCUCAAUGAGGAAAAAGUCAAUUGACCUUGAAGGGAGAAACUUUGAAAAUAUACACGUUGUAAAAGUAAGGGGCUCAAAGCACCUAUCCUGUGACACAUCUGUUCCAAGCUGCUCUUUGAGAUUGACUAAAGGGUUGGCUACAGGGUUGUUUUAGGUGAAAAGCAAAGAAUCCAUGGAGGCACACUGAGUGCAAUGCAAGAGGCUAUCUAACCUCACUCCCACUCUGUGAGAGAUGAAGAGGGAGUCAAACAGAUUAAAAUGUUCUUUGCAAGAUUGUGUAGAAGACAAUAAAAGAAUUGAUGAGGACAUGCCAAAAUGUCAGAAAGAAAAAUCUUAGAUGGGGACUCGGGGCUUUGGGUAUGAAUAGUUUGGGGGUAAGUAAACCUUGAUGUCUAGGAUUUUAUUCUUCUGUAAGGAAGAGAACAGACAGAGGAGGUAACUCUGUGAGAGACCAUUUGCAGCAUAACAUGCACUAUUGUCUGUUACAGAAGGACUCACUUACAAGAAAAUUCAGUGCUCCUGAAAAGACUCCACAGGAACCAGAAAGUGAGGAAGAUGAAAUAUGCAACCUAACGGAGGGAAAUGAGAGUCUCCAAGAUGCCCUGAGACGAUAUACAAUACAGUUGGGGUCAGCUACAAUCAAGCUUGAGGCUGGUGAGAAGGAGAGAGAGCAAAAGGAAAAAGAGAGAGAUUUACCUGCAAGGAAAUCCUGUGCUGCUGUGAAGAUGAUGCCAUGUAAGAUAGAAAAGGUGAGCAGACUGAAAAAUACCAAAGAUAUAAGGAAGAAGGACAAUUCUAGAAAAAAAAAUCUCUGUAGUCUGAUCAACCAUUAUGUUUCCAAGACCUGUCACUGA
Molecule: long non-coding RNA, 1126 nt
Filed under: Monodelphis domestica (gray short-tailed opossum)
Lineage: Eukaryota; Metazoa; Chordata; Mammalia; Didelphimorphia; Didelphidae
Description: lncRNA (ENSMODG00000046736.1)
Source: RNAcentral